RNAcentral lists this ribosomal RNA (448 nucleotides) under uncultured bacterium. Its description in RNAcentral is "bacterial SSU rRNA". It matches the Rfam family "Bacterial small subunit ribosomal RNA", at positions 29 to 507 of the family's 1533-position model. The record is from RNAcentral.
AACGAACGCUGGCGGCAUGCUUAACACAUGCAAGUUGAACGCAGGAUAGGACUUCGGUUCUAUUGCUGAGUAGCAAACGGGUGAGUAACGCGUGGGAAUCUACCUUCUUGUGGGGGAUAACUGAGGGAAACUUCAGCUAAUACCGCAUAAGCUCUACGGAGGAAAGGCUUCGGCCGCAAGAAGAGGAGCCCGCGUCAGAUUAGGUAGUUGGUAGGGUAAAAGCCUACCAAGCCAAUGAUCUGUAGCUGGUCUGAGAGGAUGAUCAGCCACACUGGGACUGAGACACGGCCCAGACUCCUACGGGAGGCAGCAGUGGGGAAUAUUGGACAAUGGGGGAAACCCUGAUCCAGCAAUGCCGCGUGAAUGAAGAAGGCCUUAGGGUUGUAAAGUUCUUUCACCUGUGAAGAUAAUGACGGUAGCAGGAGAAGAAGCCCCGGCUAACUCCGUG